GGCAGACGGGUGAGUAACAUGUAGGUAUCUACCCUAUGGCCUGGAAUAACACGAGGAAACUUGUGCUAAUACCGGAUAAGUCUUUACGGAGAAAGCUUCAUGCACCAUUGGAUGAGCCUGCAAUUGAUUAGUUUGUUGGUGGGGUAAUGGCCUACCAAGACUGUGAUCAAUAGCUGAUUUGAGAGGAUGAUCAGCCACAUUGGGACUGAGACACGGCCCAAACUCCUACGGGAGGCAGCAGUGGGGAAUCUUGCACAAUGGAGGAAACUCUGAUGCAGCGAUGCCGCGUGAGUGAAGAAGGCCCUUGGGUUGUAAAGCUCUUUCGUCGGGGAAGAAAAUGACUGUACCCGAAUAAGAAGGUCCGGCUAACUUCGUGCCAGCAGCCGCGGUAAUACGAAGGGACCUAGCGUAGUUCGGAAUUACUGGGCUUAAAGAGUUCGUAGGUGGUUGAAAAAGUUGGUGGUGAAAUCCCAGAGCUUAACUCUGGAACUGCCAUCAAAACUUUUCAGCUAGAGUAUGAUAGAGGAAAGCAGAAUUUCUAGUGUAGAGGUGAAAUUCGUAGAUAUUAGAAAGAAUACCAAUUGCGAAGGCAGCUUUCUGGAUCAUUACUGACACUGAGGAACGAAAGCAUGGGUAGCGAAGAGGAUUAGAUACCCUCGUAGUCCAUGCCGUAAACGAUGUGUGUUAGACGUUGGAA
This 697-nucleotide ribosomal RNA is filed under the name uncultured marine bacterium. RNAcentral's name for it is "bacterial SSU rRNA". It matches the Rfam family "Bacterial small subunit ribosomal RNA", at positions 97 to 828 of the family's 1533-position model. The record is from RNAcentral.